UCCUAUACUAGGUAUCUACCCUUUUAGCUGUAUUUUAUUAAUGCUCUUAAAAAAUACAAUAAUUACAUAGUUUUUCUUUAAAGGUGACAUAAAAAUGCAUAUUUAUUCUUAUAUUUUAACUUAAGUCUUUAAGUCUAAAAUAUAGAUAAUAGGAAGUUUCUAGAAUACAAACGAGUUCAGUGUUACCUAUACCAAUUAAUUGGUUACCUAUAGUUGAGACAGUAAAUCCCGAUUAUAAACUGUAAGUGAUUGCGACUAUAGUUUCGAGUGAUUUUAUACAUUUGGCAAUUGAAUGGAAUGUAUUGGCCAAUAUAUAAAAUUUAGUUGGCAGAUAAUGGCAAAGGAUUUAGUAUUAACUCAAAAGAUUCAAAUCUCAAUUAUAGGUCAUUUUAAUAGAACAUGGCACCAUAAAUUUCUUUAACUGGAGACUUGUCUGCAGAUACUAGUAUACUACUGAAGUUGAUGAGCCAAAAAAUAAGAAACAGUCAAGCCAAGCUCAAGAAACUAUUAGUUUUAUUAUGGAUCAUACCUAUUGAUUCAGAACCUGAAGAAAAAGAAAAUAGAAAGAAGGAAGAAAUGCAUUGGAAAAAUAUCAUAACACCAUUUAAAAGAAAUCAUUGACCUCAAACAAAAUAAGUAUAUACAAUUAAGCAAUUACGUCAAAAUAACCCGUAUGAUAUAUCCAAAAAUAUUUUUAAAUUAAAUAAUAUUCCUUCAACUUUAUAGAGCAAAGACAGAUUAAUUAAAAAAGACAGUGAAAC
This is a long non-coding RNA of Rhopalosiphum padi (bird cherry-oat aphid), 761 nucleotides long. RefSeq lists it as uncharacterized. NCBI's taxonomy places the organism in Eukaryota, Metazoa, Arthropoda, Insecta, Hemiptera, Aphididae. The record is from RefSeq and is a predicted model, not a curated record. The transcript has 3 exons.